CACAUAACACAUCCGCCCGGGGACUACAAACAAAAGUUUAAAACCCAAAGGACUUGGCGGUGCUUAAUAUCCACCUAGAGGAGCCUGUUCUAUAACCGAUAAUCCCCGUUCAACCUCACCCCCCCUUGCCAUAACCCGCUUAUAUACCGCCAUCGUCAGUCCACCCUGUGAAGGCCCCACAGUCGACAAAACCGCAACAACCCCAAACGUUAGGUCGAGGUGUAGUACAUGGGGAGGGAAGAAAUGGGCUACAUUUGCUACAAAGCACAUUACGAAUGUUGUCUUGAAAUACACAACUAAAGGAGGAUUUAGCAGUAAGCAGAAAAUAGAGCGUUCUGCUGAAGCCGGCACUUAAGCGCGCACACACCGCCCGUC
RNAcentral lists this ribosomal RNA (375 nucleotides) under Apionichthys finis. RNAcentral describes it as "partial small subunit ribosomal RNA". It matches the Rfam family "Bacterial small subunit ribosomal RNA", at positions 856 to 1398 of the family's 1533-position model. The record is from RNAcentral. Lineage: Eukaryota; Metazoa; Chordata; Actinopteri; Pleuronectiformes; Achiridae.